RNAcentral lists this ribosomal RNA (253 nucleotides) under uncultured bacterium. RNAcentral describes it as "partial 16S ribosomal RNA". It matches the Rfam family "Bacterial small subunit ribosomal RNA", at positions 524 to 776 of the family's 1533-position model. The record is from RNAcentral.
GACGAACUGUCCUAACGUUGUUCGGAAUCACUGGGCUUAAAGGGCGCGUAGGCGGUCGACCAAGUCAGGGGUGAAAUCCUGCAGCUUAACUGUAGAAGUGCCUUUGAUACUGGUCGUCUCGAGGGAGGUAGGGGUGUGCGGAACUUCCAGUGGAGCGGUGAAAUGCGUUGAUAUUGGAAGGAACGCCGGAGGCGAAAGCGGCGCACUGGACCUCUUCUGACGCUGAGGCGCGAAAGCUAGGGGAGCAACGGGG